RNAcentral lists this ribosomal RNA (439 nucleotides) under Citrobacter freundii. Its description in RNAcentral is "partial 23S ribosomal RNA". It matches the Rfam family "Bacterial large subunit ribosomal RNA", at positions 425 to 867 of the family's 2925-position model. Lineage: Bacteria; Pseudomonadati; Pseudomonadota; Gammaproteobacteria; Enterobacterales; Enterobacteriaceae. The record is from RNAcentral.
CGUGGUAUCCUGUCUGAAUAUGGGGGGACCAUCCUCCAAGGCUAAAUACUCCUGACUGACCGAUAGUGAACCAGUACCGUGAGGGAAAGGCGAAAAGAACCCCGGCGAGGGGAGUGAAAAAGAACCUGAAACCGUGUACGUACAAGCAGUGGGAGCCUCUUUAUGGGGUGACUGCGUACCUUUUGUAUAAUGGGUCAGCGACUUAUAUUCUGUAGCAAGGUUAACCGUAUAGGGGAGCCGAAGGGAAACCGAGUCUUAACUGGGCGUUAAGUUGCAGGGUAUAGACCCGAAACCCGGUGAUCUAGCCAUGGGCAGGUUGAAGGUUGGGUAACACUAACUGGAGGACCGAACCGACUAAUGUUGAAAAAUUAGCGGAUGACUUGUGGCUGGGGGUGAAAGGCCAAUCAAACCGGGAGAUAGCUGGUUCUCCCCGAAAGCU